GGGAGGGGAGCUUGGGGCAGGGUCUGGGGCAGAGCGAGGGUCAAGCACCCCCCUGGGAACUGGAGAAGUCGGCACCUCUGUGCAGGCUAAACCACUCCAGUGCUGAGAGUCAGAGAGUCUGAGGCCAGAAGGGAACCACGUCAUCUAAUCUGACCCCCGUAUAGCACAGGCCACCAACCCCACCCAGCACCCACCUAACCCAACCCCCAACAGUAGCCCAAAGCACGACAGCCUACAGCAGACGGGGCUAUUUAUGCGCCACAGGCAGAGAAGAGGAGGCACCGAGGUGCACCAGUGCCCGAGGCCCUACAAUGCAGGGAAAUGAUUCAGUGAGAUACCCCCAAAUAAUCCUGGUACUUCACCCACAUCCGCAUGCUGUGGAGGAAGGUGAAAACCCUCCCCCUCAUUGUCACUGCCAGUCUGACCUGAGGGAAAAUAGCCCUCCAGUGUCUUCCCAUGAUUCCCCUGUGAAAGACAGUCCGGGUACCCCACGAAUCACUGGGAAAGAAACACAGAAUAGCUCAGCUUACAGUGGCACCAUCAGCCAUGGGAUGUGCUCCCAGAAGUCCUAGAGACUCGCCAACACCAGUGAGGACACAGUAAGUGAGGUCAGGCUCAGCAGCAUGGCUCCUUGCACCCAGCCUAGGCUAACCUGGGUGCCGAUCCCCAGGGUUCACUCUGCAGUGCAGACAGACCCUUCCGGGCAGGGCUCAGCCCUAGGGGAGACUAGGACCAUUUAUCAUGCUUCCCAGUAACACUGGGCUGGCCGGGGUGGGCCCUGAUAGUCAGUCUUGAGGAGCUGCCUGUUGGCUGAAGCUGAGCAGGAAAGUCCCUGUCGUUCCCGCCAGGCAUCUAAGAGGUACUGUUCGGGGAGGUGACAAACUGGGAUAUUUCUGUAAUUUUUAUAU
Chelonoidis abingdonii (Abingdon island giant tortoise) is the source of this 908-nucleotide non-coding RNA. The record is from RefSeq and is a predicted model, not a curated record. NCBI's taxonomy places the organism in Eukaryota, Metazoa, Chordata, Testudines, Testudinidae.